This 441-nucleotide ribosomal RNA is filed under the name uncultured bacterium. RNAcentral describes it as "bacterial SSU rRNA". It matches the Rfam family "Bacterial small subunit ribosomal RNA", at positions 954 to 1392 of the family's 1533-position model. The record is from RNAcentral.
GCUUAACGCGAAGAACCUUACCUGGGUUCGACAUGCACGUGAAACCCCUGUGAAAGCAGGGGCCUCCUUCGGGACACGUGCACAGGUGCUGCAUGGCUGUCGUCAGCUCGUGUCGUGAGAUGUUGGGUUAAGUCCCGCAACGAGCGCAACCCUUGCCCCGUGUUACUAACAGGUCAAGCUGAGGACUCUCGGGGGACUGCCGGCGUCAAGCCGGAGGAAGGUGGGGACGACGUCAAGUCAUCAUGGCCCUUACGCCCAGGGCUACACACGUGCUACAAUGGCCAGGACAGAGGGCUGCGAGACCGCAAGGUGGAGCGAAUCCCAGAAACCUGGCCCAAGUUCGGAUUGCGGGCUGCAACUCGCCCGCAUGAAGCCGGAAUCGCUAGUAAUCGCGGAUCAGCUACGCCGCGGUGAAUACGUUCCCGGGUCUUGUACACACCG